UGGGGAAUAUUGCGCAAUGGGGGGAACCCUGACGCAGCCAUGCCGCGUGAAUGAAGAAGGCCUUAGGGUUGUAAAGUUCUUUCGGUAUUGAGGAAGGUUGAUGUGUUAAUAGCACAUCAAAUUGACGUUAAAUACAGAAGAAGCACCGGCUAACUCCGUGCCAGCAGCCGCGGUAAUACGGAGGGUGCGAGCGUUAAUCGGAAUAACUGGGCGUAAAGGGCACGCAGGCGGUUAUUUAAGUGAGGUGUGAAAGCCCCGGGCUUAACCUGGGAAUUGCAUUUCAGACUGGGUAACUAGAGUACUUUAGGGAGGGGUAGAAUUCCACGUGUAGCGGUGAAAUGCGUAGAGAUGUGGAGGAAUACCGAAGGCGAAGGCAGCCCCUUGGGAAUGUACUGACGCUCAUGUGCGAAAGCGUGGGGAGCAAACAGGAUUAGAUACCCUGGUAGCCCACGCUGUAAACGCUGUCGAUUUGGGGGUUGGGGUUUAACUCUGGCGCCCGUAGCUAACGUGAUAAAUCGACCGCCUGGGGAGUACGGCCGCAAGGUUA
This 547-nucleotide ribosomal RNA is filed under the name uncultured bacterium. Its description in RNAcentral is "bacterial SSU rRNA". It matches the Rfam family "Bacterial small subunit ribosomal RNA", at positions 355 to 896 of the family's 1533-position model. The record is from RNAcentral.